AGGUCAAAUCAUCAUGCCCCUUAUGUCUUGGGCUACUCACGUGCUACAAUGGCUGCAACAGAGUGACGCGAGCCUGUGAAGGUAAGCCAAGCACAAAAAGCAGUCUCAGUUCGGAUUGUAGUCUGCAACCCGACUGCAUGAAGUUGGAAUCGCUAGUAAUCGCGAAUCAGCACGUCGCGGUGAAUACGUUCCCGGGCCUU
RNAcentral lists this ribosomal RNA (200 nucleotides) under uncultured prokaryote. RNAcentral describes it as "partial 16S ribosomal RNA". It matches the Rfam family "Bacterial small subunit ribosomal RNA", at positions 1182 to 1382 of the family's 1533-position model. The record is from RNAcentral.